UAGCGCGUCUGACUCCAGAUCAGAAGGCUGGGGGUUCGAAUCCCUC
This 46-nucleotide transfer RNA is filed under the name Plasmodium falciparum Palo Alto/Uganda. It matches the Rfam family "tRNA", at positions 19 to 63 of the family's 71-position model. Rfam says of the family: Transfer RNA (tRNA) molecules are approximately 80 nucleotides in length. Their secondary structure includes four short double-helical elements and three loops (D, anti-codon, and T loops). Further hydrogen bonds mediate the characteristic L-shaped molecular structure. tRNAs have two regions of fundamental functional importance: the anti-codon, which is responsible for specific mRNA codon recognition, and the 3' end, to which the tRNAs corresponding amino acid is attached (by aminoacyl-tRNA synthetases). tRNAs cope with the degeneracy of the genetic code in two manners: having more than one tRNA (with a specific anti-codon) for a particular amino acid; and 'wobble' base-pairing, i.e. permitting non-standard base-pairing at the 3rd anti-codon position. Lineage: Eukaryota; Apicomplexa; Aconoidasida; Haemosporida; Plasmodiidae. The record is from Rfam by way of RNAcentral.